This 189-nucleotide unclassified non-coding RNA is filed under the name rhizosphere metagenome. RNAcentral's name for it is "partial ribosomal RNA internal transcribed spacer region". The record is from RNAcentral.
GUAGGUGAACCUGCGGAAGGAUCAUUACCGUGGGGUUUCGGCCCCAUUGAGAUAGCACCCUUUGUUCAUGAGUACCCUUGUUUCCUCGGCGAGUUCGCUCGCCGGUGGACAUCAAAAAACCUUUGUAGUAGUAGUAUCUUCAGUAACAAAUAAAUAUUAAAACUUUCAACAACGGAUCUCUUGGUUCUG